GGUGAACGCUGGCGGCGUGCUUAACACAUGCAAGUCGAACGGUAAGGCCCUUCGGGGUACACGAGUGGCGAACGGGUGAGUAACACGUGGGUGAUCUGCCCUGCACUUCGGGAUAAGCCUGGGAAACUGGGUCUAAUACCGGAUAGGACCACUGCCUGCAUGGGUGGUGGUGGAAAGCUUUUGCGGUGUGGGAUGGGCCCGCGGCCUAUCAGCUUGUUGGUGGGGUGAUGGCCUACCAAGGCGACGACGGGUGGCCGGCCUGGGAGGGUGACCGGCCACACUGGGACUGAGAGACGGCCCAGACUCCUACGGGAGGCAGCGGUGGGGAAUAUUGCACAAUGGGCGCAAGCCUGAUGCAGCGACGCCGCGUGAGGGAUGACGGCCUUCGGGUUGUAAACCUCUCUCAGCACCGACGAAGCGCAAGUGACGGUAGGUGCAGAAGAAGGACCGGCCAACUACGUGCCAGCAGCCGCCGCGG
RNAcentral lists this ribosomal RNA (478 nucleotides) under uncultured bacterium. Its description in RNAcentral is "partial 16S ribosomal RNA". It matches the Rfam family "Bacterial small subunit ribosomal RNA", at positions 28 to 523 of the family's 1533-position model. The record is from RNAcentral.